RNAcentral lists this transfer RNA (73 nucleotides) under Georgenia phoenicis. RNAcentral describes it as "tRNA-Arg". It matches the Rfam family "tRNA". Rfam says of the family: Transfer RNA (tRNA) molecules are approximately 80 nucleotides in length. The record is from RNAcentral. Lineage: Bacteria; Bacillati; Actinomycetota; Actinomycetes; Allobogoriellales; Allobogoriellaceae. RNAcentral also lists the same sequence under 2 other names.
GCCUCCGUAGCUCAGGGGAUAGAGCACCGCUCUCCUAAAGCGGGUGUCGGCAGUUCGAAUCUGCCCGGAGGCA